CCGUAGUAAAAACCUUUGUCUAUUGAGAACAGUGUUAAAAGCAGUGCAGCAUGUGGUUCUCCAUCUCUUCAGUAAAGACACAGAAGUUUUCACAGCUGACACAAUCAUUGCCUGUGAUGGAAAAUAGUGCUGCUGAUUCUACACAAGUGUUCUGCGUGUUUAGAAACCGGUGCAGUCAGGGAGCUGAGGGUUUCAAUUCCCAUCAUUCAUAUACGGUACGUUUCCACUCAAAUCCAACUCUGAGCUGACUUUCCUCAAACGUUCUUCAAUAAAACAUGGAACCCAUGAAUAUUGUGAAUGAUUAUUUCCUACUUGAAAACAGAUGAAGACAUUUUUUGCGCGGCUGAAGGUGACUGGGGCAACACCAAGGCUGGUUACACUGCAGUGUUAAAGUGUGAGAACACAGCUGGACUGAGACAAAGGAAAUGCAGCCUCAAAGGAAAAUGGCGGGAGGAGGAGUCAGCAUGUGUUCUCUUUGAGCUGGACAGUGUGUUGCAAAGCUCAUUGAUUGCAGA
Molecule: long non-coding RNA, 515 nt
Filed under: Gouania willdenowi (blunt-snouted clingfish)
Lineage: Eukaryota; Metazoa; Chordata; Actinopteri; Blenniiformes; Gobiesocidae
Description: lncRNA (ENSGWIG00000009214.1)
Source: RNAcentral